RNAcentral lists this ribosomal RNA (254 nucleotides) under uncultured bacterium. RNAcentral's name for it is "partial 16S ribosomal RNA". It matches the Rfam family "Bacterial small subunit ribosomal RNA", at positions 524 to 776 of the family's 1533-position model. The record is from RNAcentral.
UACGUAGGGGGGCUAGCGUUGUCCGGAAUCAUUGGGCGUAAAGCGCGCGUAGGCGGCCCAGUAAGUCCGUUGUAAAAGUCAAAGGCUCAACCUUUGAAAGCCGAUGGAUACUGCUGGGCUAGAGUCCGGAAGAGGCGAGUGGAAUUCCUGGUGUAGCGGUGGAAUGCGCAGAUAUCAGGAGGAACACCGAUAGCGAAGGCAGCUCGCUGGGACGGUACUGACGCUGAGGCGCGAAAGCGUGGGGAGCGAACAGG